RNAcentral lists this transfer RNA (36 nucleotides) under Solanum metarsium. Its description in RNAcentral is "partial tRNA-Leu". The record is from RNAcentral. Lineage: Eukaryota; Viridiplantae; Streptophyta; Magnoliopsida; Solanales; Solanaceae.
GGACUUAAAAUCCGUCGACUUUAAAAAUCGUGAGGG